This is an unclassified non-coding RNA of Microcebus murinus (gray mouse lemur), 102 nucleotides long. It matches the Rfam family "Y RNA". From Rfam's summary of the family: Y RNAs are components of the Ro ribonucleoprotein particle (Ro RNP), in association with Ro60 and La proteins. The Y RNAs and Ro60 and La proteins are well conserved, but the function of the Ro RNP is not known. The record is from Ensembl. NCBI's taxonomy places the organism in Eukaryota, Metazoa, Chordata, Mammalia, Primates, Cheirogaleidae.
GGCUUGUCCGAGCACAGUGGUUUUUAUAACUAAUUGAUCACAACCAAUUAUAGAUUCCUUUGUUCCUUCUUCACUCCCAUUGCUUCACUUGACUAGCCUUAA